UACGUAGGGGGCAAGCGUUAUCCGGAUUUAUUGGGCGUAAAGCGAGCGCAGGUGGUUUAUUAAGUCUGGUGUAAAAGGCAGUGGCUCAACCAUUGUAUGCAUUGGAAACUGGUAGACUUGAGUGCAGGAGAGGAGAGUGGAAUUCCAUGUGUAGCGGUGAAAUGCGUAGAUAUAUGGAGGAACACCGGUGGCGAAAACGGCUCUCUGGCCUGUAACUGACACUGAGGCUCGAAAGCGUGGGGAGCAAACAGG
RNAcentral lists this ribosomal RNA (252 nucleotides) under uncultured bacterium. RNAcentral describes it as "partial 16S ribosomal RNA". It matches the Rfam family "Bacterial small subunit ribosomal RNA", at positions 524 to 776 of the family's 1533-position model. The record is from RNAcentral.